This 244-nucleotide ribosomal RNA is filed under the name uncultured bacterium. RNAcentral's name for it is "partial 16S ribosomal RNA". It matches the Rfam family "Bacterial small subunit ribosomal RNA", at positions 1248 to 1500 of the family's 1533-position model. The record is from RNAcentral.
AGCUACCCAGCGAUGGGAUGCGAAUCUCGAAAGCCUGUCUCAGUUCGGAUUGGAGGCUGAAACCCGCCUCCAUGAAGUUGGAUUCGCUAGUAAUCGCGCAUCAGCCAUGGCGCGGUGAAUACGUUCCCGGGCCUUGUACACACCGCCCGUCAAGCCAUGGAAGCUGGGGGUGCCUGAAGUUCGUGACCGGAAGGAGCGACCUAGGGCAAAACCGGUGACUGGGGCUAAGUCGUAACAAGGUAUC